Molecule: long non-coding RNA, 1086 nt
Filed under: Anser brachyrhynchus (Pink-footed goose)
Lineage: Eukaryota; Metazoa; Chordata; Aves; Anseriformes; Anatidae
Description: lncRNA (ENSABRG00000001853.1)
Source: RNAcentral
UGAAUAGUGAAAAUUACUUGAUUGAAAAUAGCGUGUUUACUCCUCACCCAGCUCUGACUUUUUAGGCUCUAUUCAAGGUGGUUAUGUGCAACUCAUUUGACUGCCUUUUAGGAAGCCCUUUCUUCAGCAGAGUUUUAUAACACAUUUUUAAAAUUAAUUUAUUUAUUUUUAUACCAGUCUGUUGCAAGGAAAUAUGGCAAAAAUCAGUCUGUGUCCAAGGGUGUGUGUGGAAUUGUGGAAUAACUUAAAAUGUACCUGAAUUUCUCUUGCAUCUUUUAAGGGCUCUUCAUAUUACUGAUCAUGUUACCUAUACAAAUAACACAUUUUAAGAAGUUAAACUCCAAGGAACCAUUAGGAGGAAAUACUCCCCAUUCUGAAAACCACCCAAAACAGACUCUAAACUCUCUAGAAGAUAACAUUACUUUGGAAUUGAAGAAUCAUACAAUAGCCCAGAGAUUAACAUUCAUCAUGCUGAGAUUUGGGCAGCACAUCAUCAAGCCCUCCGUGGUCUUCCUGAAGACUGAGCUCUCCUUUGCUCUUGUGAACCGCAAGCCGGUGGUCCCAGGCCGUAUCCUUUUGAGCAGUGCCUUGGCCAUGGGUGCUCGUGCUCUGUGGAGAAGCUGAGGAAGGUUGGCGCGUGCUCCAAAGGCCAGGUAGGAUCUGCGCGGAUUUAUUCUGAAACCAGGCGGUGGAACAUAAUACACUUGAUUGGUGUUGCAGAACUGCCGAAAAGGGUUGCUUAGCAACUGUGACCUUACAGGUGAAUUUCUAUUGACCUUUUCACCACAGAAGAUGUAUAAACAACCAGGUGCUACUAAAAGCAUUUUAAAGUGUAUCUGAGAUGAUACUGUUUAAAUUUCAUAUUAUGCUAAAUAACACAUCCUGCUUCCCUUUUAAUAACGUCACUUAUUUUUAGAUGUGGUAACUUCUUUAUGGAGGAUUUUCAACUUCUUGUAGCUAAAUGUACACGAUUUGUCAAAUGGCAGCAGAAUUCUCUAUGAAGACUAUUAUUUUUUGGGGGGGGAACAGAUUGCUUUGAUUAAUUUAGGUAGGAAUGGAUUAAAUAAACCAUCUGUAUAGCAAACA